Molecule: unclassified non-coding RNA, 338 nt
Filed under: Hevea brasiliensis (rubber tree)
Lineage: Eukaryota; Viridiplantae; Streptophyta; Magnoliopsida; Malpighiales; Euphorbiaceae
Source: RNAcentral
UUAAAAAAAAAAAAAAAAGAGGAAAUCAUAGCAGCUUUAAGUUCCAUAAUAAGAAGUAGAUAUUUGUGUACCGAUUGCCAACAACAGGGUGAAGCUUGACUAUGGUUUGUUCUUCGGUCGUGGAGAACUGAACAUGCUUGAGAUCAGGACGAAGAUAAUUAGUCCACCGGAGCCUGCAGCUCUUCCCACAUCUUUGGAGACCUUAAAUCACGCAAACGAACUGAAUAAUACAUGCACUUAAUUGUGUAUAUUAUUGAGCAAGACAAGACAAAACAAACCAGCAUUCUUGGGGAUCAGUCGCCAAUUACGGGUGCCGUGUAGGGCGAUAUAAGGAGAGA